GGUUAGUCAUGAGCUGGCUGGUGUAUAUUCUGAAUCUAAAGUUGCUUAUUACUACUUUAGCUCUAGAAUCACACUGAGACUUG
Small nucleolar RNA from Lemur catta (Ring-tailed lemur), 83 nucleotides. RefSeq annotates it as small nucleolar RNA SNORD45. The transcript has a single exon. The record is from RefSeq and is a predicted model, not a curated record. NCBI's taxonomy places the organism in Eukaryota, Metazoa, Chordata, Mammalia, Primates, Lemuridae.